Long non-coding RNA from Pipistrellus kuhlii (Kuhl's pipistrelle), 616 nucleotides. RefSeq lists it as uncharacterized. Lineage: Eukaryota; Metazoa; Chordata; Mammalia; Chiroptera; Vespertilionidae. The record is from RefSeq and is a predicted model, not a curated record. The transcript has 3 exons.
UAACCAGGGAAUGUGAAAGAAGGGGACACAUUUUUUUUUUAUUAAUUUGUUCUUCUAGCACCAUUUUGGGGUUCUUGCCUUGAAGGGUAUUAAAUCUCAUCCUUGCAGAAGUGGUUGAGUACCUGGAAUCAGGUAUGAUCUUGAAGAACAAAGUGAUGGAAGCUGUUGAAGGAUCUGCUUCAUUGAAGGCAUCAAGACCAAAAAAAAUUUGAGAAGAGCCUAUAUCAAACAUGGAGAAACUUCUAGUGACCUACAUUGAUGACCAAGCACAGAAGCAUGUCCUUAUAACCCCCAUAGCAAUCAUGGCCAAAGCAAAAGGCUGGACUUGACUACAAUAUUGAAUUUACUGCUAACUCUGGGUGGUUUAAAUGAUCAAAGAAUUGUUAUUCAUUACAUCAUGUGAAAGUGAUUGGCUCCCGCCUUGGAUUAUCUGCUGUGUGUUCAUUGAGCAAAACCCUGAGAAUAUAGCAGAAUAUAAAGCAUGGGAAGCUUAAAUUUUAAUAAGGAAGACAUAAAUAUAUUAAAAAGUUAAAUAAGAGAAUUUAAGAUUGCAUGACAACUUCAAUUUGAAAUAACCAUUUUACACAUUUUUAGGAGUACUGUACUUAGAAAUGAC